Molecule: long non-coding RNA, 290 nt
Filed under: Linum usitatissimum (flax)
Lineage: Eukaryota; Viridiplantae; Streptophyta; Magnoliopsida; Malpighiales; Linaceae
Description: long non-coding RNA (LUSI_LNC001029)
Source: RNAcentral
AAAAAAACGAGGGGAUAAGCUGCCCACCAACCAAUAUAUCAAGAACACCGCUUCUCCGUUGCCAAAACCCCUCCCGCAAAUCAGUCUGUAGUAGUUGGAAGAAAGCCAUUAGGGAUUCUCAAUUCCUAUCCUCAUAAGCUUCUACAGUAGUCAAAGCUUCAGUCUUGAAACCCUAUCCGUUUCUCCGAUAUGGCUUCUUCGGCUGCCCAGAUUCAUGUCCUCGGAGCCAUGGGCUUCAGCAGCUCCUCAUCGAAGAAACCCACCUUCUCUUUCGCCCCCAAGGCGGCGUU